Molecule: ribosomal RNA, 610 nt
Filed under: uncultured bacterium
Lineage: Bacteria
Description: bacterial SSU rRNA
Rfam family: Bacterial small subunit ribosomal RNA
Source: RNAcentral
CCUACGGGAGGCAGCAGUAAGGAAUAUUGGUCAAUGGAGGCAACUCUGAACCAGCCAUGCCGCGUGCAGGAAGACAGCCCUCUGGGUCGUAAACUGCUUUUAUUCGGGAAUAAACCUCAUUAUGUAUAGUGAGCUGAAUGUACCGAAGGAAUAAGGAUCGGCUAACUCCGUGCCAGCAGCCGCGGUAAUACGGAGGAUCCAAGCGUUAUCCGGAUUUAUUGGGUUUAAAGGGUGCGUAGGCGGCUUUUUAAGUCAGGGGUGAAAGACGGUAGCUCAACUAUCGCAGUGCCCUUGAUACUGAAGAGCUUGAAUGGACUAGAGGUAGGCGGAAUGUGACAAGUAGCGGUGAAAUGCAUAGAUAUGUCACAGAACACCGAUUGCGAAGGCAGCUUACUAUGGUUUAUUGACGCUGAGGCACGAAAGCGUGGGGAUCAAACAGGAUUAGAUACCCUGGUAGUCCACGCCCUAAACGAUGAAUACUCGCUGUUAGCGAUACACAGUUAGCGGCUAAGCGAAAGCGUUAAGUAUUCCACCUGGGGAGUACGGUCGCAAGAUUGAAACUCAAAGGAAUUGACGGCUGAGAGNGACGAGGACGACACGAGGGAGGAGG